Molecule: long non-coding RNA, 443 nt
Filed under: Homo sapiens (human)
Lineage: Eukaryota; Metazoa; Chordata; Mammalia; Primates; Hominidae
Description: HSALNT0293719
Source: RNAcentral
CCUUUGUGCAAUUUUUUUCCCCCAAAUAUUUUUGAUCUGAGGUUAGUUGAAUUUACAGAUGCAGAACCCACAGAUAUGGAGGGUUGUCUGUACUUUAUGCAGUUGUUAUAAGGAUUAAAUUAGAUUAACCCUAAUAUUAAUUUAAUAAAUUAACUUCAAUAGAACAGCUAGAAUAGUAAGCACUAUGUAAGUGUCUGUUAAAUGAACACAUGAUUGUCACCUAUGGUUAAAACAUUACCAGAAAUUGAGACCCAGAAUUUGACAAGUUAGAGCAUCUUCAUGGACAAAAGGGACAGAAUAGUGGAAGCCAGGACUGUUGAGGUCAAUUAGGAUGCAUGGUAUAACCGCAGGUGAGACAUCAAUAAGGGAACCUAGCGACAGGUGGGUCAGAGUUGAGGCUUUAAGGUCAGGCUGCCAAAUUCAGCCACUAGCUUCCUACUUAU